GAUGAACGCUGGCGGCGUGCCUAAUACAUGCAAGUCGAGCGAACAGACGAGGAGCUUGCUCCUCUGACGUUAGCGGCGGACGGGUGAGUAACACGUGGAUAACCUACCUAUAAGACUGGGAUAACUUCGGGAAACCGGAGCUAAUACCGGAUAACAUGUUGAACCGCAUGGUUCAACAGUGAAAGACGGUUUUGCUGUCACUUAUAGAUGGAUCCGCGUCGCAUUAGCUAGUUGGUAAGGUAACGGCUUACCAAGGCAACGAUGCGUAGCCGACCUGAGAGGGUGAUCGGCCACACUGGAACUGAGACACGGUCCAGACUCCUACGGGAGGCAGCAGUAGGGAAUCUUCAGCAAUGGGCGAAAGCCUGACGGAGCAACGCCGCGUGAGUGAAGAAGGUCUUCGGAUCGUAAAACUCUGUUAUUAGGGAAGAACAAAUGUGUAAGUAACUAUGCACGUCUUGACGGUACCUAAUCAGAAAGCCACAGCUAACUACGUG
Molecule: ribosomal RNA, 497 nt
Filed under: uncultured bacterium
Lineage: Bacteria
Description: partial 16S ribosomal RNA
Rfam family: Bacterial small subunit ribosomal RNA
Source: RNAcentral